AAACCUGUACUUUUCAUUUAAUGCUCCUAUAACUUUGAAAAAAGUUACUUAAUGCAUCUGGGUCUGUUUUCUCAUCUGUAUAAGUGAGAUACAGAUGCCUCAAAGAGCUGCUGUAGAUAUUAAAUGUGGCAUUACAUGUAAUGUGUGUGGAAGCAAAAGGAAGCAGAGGAUGACACAGGAAAGUGAAAAAGGAACGAAACUUCUGGUGGCUCAGGCCCAGGCUGCACGGAUGCUGAAAGCUGACCCUGGCUUUGGAGAAUGGUGCAAGAGCUUAAAGACGUAAAAGGAGGAGCAAGAUGUUCCAAGCAAAGACAGGACUUUGGCAAGGAACAUGAAACUCAAAAUGCCUUCACUUAUUAUAAAAUUGAUGCAUUAUUAUAGGUGAGAAAGAUUUGCAACUGGGAGGACUCAUUGUUCUUUGGAUGGCUGCUGUUUCUUUAAAUUGGGUGAAAAAACUGUACAGUUGCUGAGUCAGAUGAUCUGGCAGCCUCGGAGAUUCAGAGCAAGAAAAUGGUGGCACUCAUAAAAAAAGAAAAGAAAAGAAAGCAAAACAUAAGCUUCCUUAAUACAUCUGCAAAGGGAAGUGUUCAAACACAAGGAAAGCUGCAGUAUGGGAAGGAAACAGUUGAGAGAACAAUUUGAGGCAAAUUCUUCAUCACUGGAAAAACUUCUUAUUCCAUCCUCCAUUCCGUCUUGUACCCCAGAACGAGGAACAAAGAGAAGAAGGCCUUUCAACACUCGCUGGUGGCCAACUGGCGCGGAAGGGAUUGGCUGCCGAGUUUUGGACACUUUCCUCGAAUGAACCUGACCCAUUCCGCUUCACCCCUCCAGAAAAAAGGCCUGGCCAGUUCCAAGCUGGGGAGAUGACCAAGAGACCUCCUCGUCAUUCCUUGCACCCCUCCUGAAUCCGAGAGGCCCCCACUUCGUCCUCCACCUAGUUGGGCCCCAAUCCCGCUCUAGGCAUCAGUCACUGUUAACGCAGAUCACAUCUUACCCGAGGAAACAGUUGGGGUGUGGGGCGAGGCCCGGGGCGGUUAACAACAGAAGGGGUGCAUUCGCGGAGUGGGGUGAUCAGUGGGCUAUGCCUCUAAACUCUUGCUACGGGGUCCUACCCCAGCUGCCAGUUAAAUCUCUGGGAUCCGCAGCGUCUCUAGAAAUUGAGAGGGUGGGGAGAUGGGGUCGAGGAGGGUGGUCGCAGCUAGAAGGUGGGGGAGG
Long non-coding RNA from Herpailurus yagouaroundi (jaguarundi), 1215 nucleotides. RefSeq lists it as uncharacterized. NCBI's taxonomy places the organism in Eukaryota, Metazoa, Chordata, Mammalia, Carnivora, Felidae. The record is from RefSeq and is a predicted model, not a curated record. The transcript is spliced from 4 exons.